GCCGGGGUGGUGAAACUGGUAGACACACAGGACUUAAAAUCCUGAGGCUCGAAAGGGCCGUGCGGGUUCGAGUCCCGCCCUCGGCA
This 86-nucleotide transfer RNA is filed under the name Acidobacteriota bacterium. RNAcentral describes it as "tRNA-Leu". It matches the Rfam family "tRNA". Rfam says of the family: Transfer RNA (tRNA) molecules are approximately 80 nucleotides in length. Their secondary structure includes four short double-helical elements and three loops (D, anti-codon, and T loops). The record is from RNAcentral. Lineage: Bacteria; Pseudomonadati; Acidobacteriota. RNAcentral also lists the same sequence under 3 other names.